RNAcentral lists this unclassified non-coding RNA (564 nucleotides) under Hevea brasiliensis (rubber tree). The record is from RNAcentral. Lineage: Eukaryota; Viridiplantae; Streptophyta; Magnoliopsida; Malpighiales; Euphorbiaceae.
UGGCUGAGGUAUGCUUCAACUUCAUUCUCAUGCCAUAUAUAUGCUGUGUUACUUUUGAUUUCUGUUCUGUAUAAUGGCCAUUCCAUGUUUUGCUAGCAUCAAGAUGCUGGCAGAAAUCUAUCUAGUUGAGAACUGCUGAAAAUGAGUUGGUUUUCUUUAGAACUUUCCCUGUGCCAACAAAAACUAAAUAACAGGAUGUAGGUUCAACAGUAUGAGCUUUAGUAAAUGAUAUCUCUGAUAUUUUCGGAGAAUUUUUAUUACAUAAUCAAAUAUUUUACCUUUGGCCCAAUACAUAUAUUGCCCUCAUAUAACUGAAGAGUCUGGUGACCCCUAAGCUCUUAUUUUGACCUAUUAAACACCUCAAUGUCUAUUUUUGCACCUAUUAAACACAAAUUUAUUUGGUUUUCAGAUUAUGUUGAUAUACACACAUAAAGACAAGCAAAAAUAACUAUAAAAAUGUUGACGUAACCCUUUUAGCAAUGCUAAUGUGGGUAAGAAUUGUCAUUUGAGAGUGAGAAAUAUGGUGGAAAUGAGUUAAAAAAAAUUAAGAGAGAGAGAGAGAGA